This 21-nucleotide microRNA is filed under the name Brassica rapa (field mustard). Its description in RNAcentral is "bra-miR9569-5p". The record is from miRBase by way of RNAcentral. Lineage: Eukaryota; Viridiplantae; Streptophyta; Magnoliopsida; Brassicales; Brassicaceae.
UGAGUUAUCAUUGGUCUUGUG